AAUGACAGAGCCGUCAUUAUCACCAGGAGAGCUGGAACUGCCUUCAGCAUCGAUUCCCUGGUCAGAAGCUGCCAACAGGACCAGCACAUGCACUUUGAAAUCAGGAAAGUAAAAUGGCAAAGAGUAAGGGAGCAAUGAGGCAAAGCGUGCGUGGAUGGGGGAUCUGGAUGGAUGCCAAGUGGAUGCCAUGGUGCAAGUCAGGACUUUGGUGCUCCACGAUAAGCAGAACACUUACACUGAGCACCGUGCAUGACUCCUGUUUCCUAUCUGUGCCACCCCCCUGCAGCAAGGCUACCUGAGCGUGCUCAGGGGUGCUGGCACUUGUGCUGGCCCAAGCGCUAUCACCACAGGGGUGGCUUCCCAGGCAGGGCUUAUCUACAGCCACAGGCUGCCUCUUGUCUCUCGGGCAUUCCCACAGUGACAUAAACAGCCAGUCAGUGAUACAGCUGAAAACCAUCCUUUCCCUUAAGAACAGGAAAAAACCCUUCUCAUCUUAAGCAAGAACUUGGGGCCUCGUCCUUUCUAAGCUGUCACGCAGCUCACAGUGACAGGAAUUCAGUGUGACUGCAGAGGAGCCCCAGGAGGCAGCACAGCAUUCCAGGCCACCCCCUCCUCUUCUGGUGAUACCUCUGCAUUCAGGCACUUUGGGAGAAGGCAGAACAAGCUCUGCGUGGCACUGACAUUUGUUACAUCUGGGUCUUCGAUCACCAGGCACAUGAAUUUUAGAGAGGCAAGCAAAACACACUGGGUGUUCUACUGUAAACUCAAAGCUGCAGCCAGCUGACAUCCUCUGGGCAUCACGUCCAUGAACAUCCAUGUCCAUGGUGUUCUUGCAUCAAGGCAGCAAAGGAAGCGAGUUGGCAUCGAAGCCGCGCGGGCCACCAGUAGAGGGCAAAGGAAGCCAAGGAAUUCUCUUCCCCAGAGCAACAAAGAAAACAACGUCAUCUCCGAGUGGCCGCUGCUCCCGGCGCGCUGGGAUCACACUGCGAAUUAGCAAAACAUGCUGGCUUCACCCCUCAGCCGGCUGCGGCCAAAAGCCAGAGACGAGGAGAAGUUAAAACGCCAAAAGCUGCGGCCCGAAGGAGCGCGGCCGGUCGCUGUGGGUCGGGACACGCAGCAGCACACGGAGAGAGCGCUGCCGGCUCCCGGGAUCCAGAGGGAGCAGCGCGGCUCCCUCCCGCUGGAAGCAGCGCUGAAACCCAGUGACCUAAAUAUUCUCGCCCGUGGUGCCGCAUGAGCAGCUCCCGGGAGCACCACGUUUGACUGCGGAAAUGUGAAAUUGUUUUGUGGGGGAAGGGAGGGGAGAGCGAGCGAGGCGUUCAAAAAGGGAGGGAAAUCGUCAAGGUAAAUCUCUUGGGUAUAGAUGAACACUUCAUCCAGUUUAAAAAAAAUCUUAUUUUAUCUCUGAAUUCGUAGUUUAAUUUUCUGUCCAAUAUACCAAGGAGAGGCUUCUUAAAUAUCUGAGAGCAAGUUCUCACACAGCACCUGUCAUAUUUGCAAUUUGCAAAACAAAUGACAGCAUUUACACAAAUUUCUCGUUCACAAGAUGAAAUCCCUACAAUUUGUGCUUCAGCCACUAGAAAUCAAGUAAAAACAAUCCCUGAGGGUAACUGCUGAGUAUUACAUUAAGCAAUAUCAUUUUAUAAAGUCAUAGAGUAAAAUGCCAGUAGGUGCUAACUGCAUUUCAGAGAUUAUAAAAUAUAAUUACCUUCAGAAUUGUAUCUACCAAUGACAUAAAAAAAAAAUAUAUCUCUGACUAGAAAGUGCAAUGAGAUCCGUGAAUUACAUGCCAAAAUUCUAUGGAAACAGAGUCCUGCCGACAAAUGUGCCUGUGCUAAUUCCACACCGGUGGAAAGCAGCAUUUCCACCAGCGGGAUUACUCACCCAUUGCAGUCGAGGAUGAUCACAAACGCUGACAGGUAACUCCCUUUUCAACUCAAGCCAUCAAAACCCUCCCUUUCUUGUCACGAUUGCACAGAGCUGCUGAGAUUUGAAGUUCGAUUCAGCGUGUGUGAGCUGUAUUUCAUCGUGCCUUCAUCUGAAGUGUGCAGAGGACAAUCGCAAAGAUAAAAGCUGCCAUUUAAAUUGUUCUUCUGGUCUCUGGCCUCACUUCUGUCGUCUUUUUCUCUGUCUGAAGCAUCACUGAUUAAUCUGAAUUACUUAAAUCUGUUUAAUUAACGUUGCUUUGUCUUUAAAUAGUUUAGCCUUAAUCUGUCUAAUCCUUUAUUGGUUCUAUUAAUCCCUGUUAAAUUUGUCUAAUGAUAAAAUAAGCAAACUUGCACAAGAUUGAA
Long non-coding RNA from Onychostruthus taczanowskii (white-rumped snowfinch), 2291 nucleotides. RefSeq lists it as uncharacterized. The transcript is spliced from 2 exons. The record is from RefSeq and is a predicted model, not a curated record. NCBI's taxonomy places the organism in Eukaryota, Metazoa, Chordata, Aves, Passeriformes, Passeridae.